GUGAAAGGCCAAUCAAACUUCGUGAUAGCUGGUUCUCUCCGAAAUAUAUUUAGGUAUAGCGUUGUGUCGUAAUAUAAGGGGGUAGAGCACUGAAUGGGCUAGGGCAUACACCAAUGUACCAAACCCUAUCAAACUCCGAAUACCUUAUAUGUAAUCACAGCAGUCAGGCGGCGAGUGAUAAAAUCCGUCGUCAAGAGGGAAACAACCCAGACUACCAGCUAAGGUCCCUAAAUCUUACUUAAGUGGAAAACGAUGUGAAGUUACUUAAACAACCAGGAGGUUGGCUUAGAAGCAGCCAUCCUUUAAAGAAAGCGUAAUAGCUCACUGGUCUAGUGAUUUUGCGCGGAAAAUAUAACGGGGCUAAAGUAA
RNAcentral lists this ribosomal RNA (369 nucleotides) under Campylobacter coli. RNAcentral describes it as "partial 23S ribosomal RNA". It matches the Rfam family "Bacterial large subunit ribosomal RNA", at positions 821 to 1190 of the family's 2925-position model. Lineage: Bacteria; Pseudomonadati; Campylobacterota; Epsilonproteobacteria; Campylobacterales; Campylobacteraceae. The record is from RNAcentral.